CCUACGGGAGGCAGCAGUGAGGAAUAUUGGUCAAUGGACGAGAGUCUGAACCAGCCAAGUAGCGUGAAGGAUGACUGCCCUAUGGGUUGUAAACUUCUUUUAUAUGGGAAUAAAAUGUUCCACGUGUGGAAUUUUGUACGUACCAUAUCAAUAAGGAUCGGCUAACUCCGUGCCAGCAGCCGCGGUAAUACGGAGGAUCCGAGCGUUAUCCGGAUUUAUUGGGUUUAAAGGGAGCGUAGGUGGAUUGUUAAGUCAGUUGUGAAAGUUUGCGGCUCAACCGUAAAAUUGCAGUUGAAACUGGAAGGCUUGAGUACAGGAGAGGUAGGCGGAAUUCGUGGUGUAGCGGUGAAAUGCUUAGAUAUCACGAAGAACUCCGAUGGCGAAGGCAGCUGACUGGACUGCAACUGACACUGAGGCUCGAAAGUGUGGGUAUCAAACAGGAUUAGAUACCCCAGUAGUC
RNAcentral lists this ribosomal RNA (460 nucleotides) under uncultured bacterium. RNAcentral describes it as "partial 16S ribosomal RNA". It matches the Rfam family "Bacterial small subunit ribosomal RNA", at positions 338 to 795 of the family's 1533-position model. The record is from RNAcentral.